CGUGAGGAACCUGCCUUUCAGAGGGGGGACAACAGUUGGAAACGACUGCUAAUACCGCAUAAUAUAUGUUUGUCGCAUGGCAGAUAUAUCAAAGAUUUAUCGCUGAGAGAUGGCCUCGCGUCUGAUUAGCUAGUUGGUAGGGUAACGGCCUACCAAGGCGACGAUCAGUAGCCGGACUGAGAGGUUGGCCGGCCACAUUGGGACUGAGAUACGGCCCAGACUCCUACGGAAGGCAGCAG
Molecule: ribosomal RNA, 239 nt
Filed under: uncultured bacterium
Lineage: Bacteria
Description: partial 16S ribosomal RNA
Rfam family: Bacterial small subunit ribosomal RNA
Source: RNAcentral